Molecule: RNA transcript, 3239 nt
Organism: Syngnathus typhle (broad-nosed pipefish)
Lineage: Eukaryota; Metazoa; Chordata; Actinopteri; Syngnathiformes; Syngnathidae
Gene: dtl
Gene name: denticleless E3 ubiquitin protein ligase homolog (Drosophila)
Exons: 16
Source: RefSeq, a predicted model, not a curated record
UGUAUGAACCAAUGGUUGUUCGGAAUGCUGGUUUAGCGCGGAAUUCAGUCACCGCGUUCAGACGAUCGGUUCGCGGGAAAGAAAGACACAUCAACACAGCGUACUCCUACUAGAUAAGAGGAAUAACAAAUACACAUAAAUAUAUUUUGGAAUUAUCAGAUCGGUUCCAACUGAAACAUAGGGAUGCUUUUUCGUUCAAUAAUUGAAAAUCGUCUCGGCAGACAACGGCAGAAUGCAUUACCUACUCAAACCCGGACCAUGUAUCCCCUGAGCUCCCUCCUGGAAGGCUACCAGUGUGUUCGCAAUGAUGAACAUAUCUCCUAUGGCAGCCUUGUUGAUUCAGUCCCCCCAUUUGGACUAUCCUUCUCCUCUGCGAGGGAGAUUCAGGAUGUUCUGGCUGUGGCAAAUGAAGAAGGCAUUGUUAGGAUUUACAACACUGAGGGGCGAGGAGACCGACUUCUGAAAGAAUGGCUGGCUCACGAGAAUGCUGUCUUUGACAUAGCAUGGGUGCCUGGGGAGUCUCAAUUGGUGACUGCUGCAGGCGACCAGAUGGCCAGGUUGUGGGACGUGAAGUCAGGCGAACUGUUAGGUGGCUUCAGAGGCCACCUCUGCAGCCUCAAAUCUGUUGCAUUCACUUCAGAGGACAAAGCUGUAUUCUGUACUGGCGCAAGAGAUGGAAAUAUUUUGGUGUGGGAUACCAGAUGCAGCAAAAAAGAUGGUUUCUACAAACCAGUGAAACAAAUCCAGGGUGCUCAUAACAAAGCAGAGACAAACCCCCUAUCGAAAACAAAGAAAAGACGACUCAGUGUUCGUGGCAUGGCUCCCAGUGUGGACACCCAGCAGGGUGUCACUGUGGUGUUAUUUCAAGAUCAGCACACUCUCAUCUCCUCUGGGGCAGUUGAUGGGUUUGUGAAGAUGUGGGACCUGAGGAAAAACUACACCGCGCACCAUCACCAACCUGUAGCCCUGCAGACGUACCCGUAUCCCGGCUCUUCUAUGCGUAUGCGUCUCGGUUAUUCUGGUCUUGUCCUGGACUCCACGAGGUCUAAUGUCAUGUGCAACUGCACUGAUGACAACAUUUACAUGUUCAAUGUCAGUGGAAUCAAAACUACACCAGAGGCUGUGUUCAGUGGCCACCAAAACUCGUCUUUUUACAUCAAAUCCACAAUUAGUCCAAAUAACCAGUUCUUGGCCAGUGGCUCAAGUGAUAACCACACAUACAUAUGGAAGAUCUCUGAUCCUACGCAGCCUCCCAUGACUCUUCAAGGCCAUAGUGAGGAAGUGACAUCUGUUGCAUGGUGCCCAACAGACUUCACUAAGAUCGCUUCCUGCUCCGAUGACCACACUGUGCGCAUCUGGCGCCUACGUCGUGAAAUGGGCGGAGAACAGUCAUCAGUGGGAGAGGCCAAUCUUGUUGGCUGGGCACGUCCAAAAAGUCCACGCAAACUUUCGAAUCCCACUGAGACAACACUUGCUAAGGAGCAGAUGGUUGGGAGCAUUGGAGGCCUGGCCUCUCCGUGCCUCGCCUCCUGUGCUCCCAGUGGUGCCGCCUUACCGCUCUCCUCCAGCACCACCUCACCUGUCCAUUCUCGGCAAGCCAAAGCUGCUAAUUAUCAGAGAACUUCCAUUAAGUCCUGGCUCUCCCCCAGUCAAGGAUCUCCAAGCCAAACGAGCGCUCUACUGUGUAAAGUUCUGAGUCCGUGUCCUCAGAGCCCAACAAAUUGCACUUCUCCUUUGGUACCGCGAGCCAAACGCAGGCUGGAGACUGUCAACGGCUCAACUGAUGAAUGUGAGGGCACAAAGCUGAGCGAGUGUGUCUCCGAACUCUACCCUGUUGCCAAAAGGUGCAAGGGGCAGUCUGGCAUUGCCCGCCCAGCUCAAGGGGAUCACACAGACAAUCAUAUUGAGGAAGGCCGAGAGUUAUCAAUACAGUCUGGAAAAGAAAACUACUGCCCUGGGGUGAGAGACUGGCUGUCAGCAAUGGGCCAAAAGAUGAGAGGAAACUCUCGUAGCCCUCGAAGCCCCAGUGCUCCAAAGAAACAAGAGGGCAAGACGCCAGCAUCACCAACUUUGAACUCACCGCGAAACAUGAAAAAAAUCUCCUCCUAUUUCACGAGGAGAGGCACAGACUGACCCAUCAGCAUCCAUGAGUAGUGCCUCAACAUUUUUGACGCUGUGCAGUCACUGACUGACAGUGAUUGCUCCCUGGGAACGUCAAUCAAAAACCCGCCAUGCCAUGCAGUCUAACUGUCUCGGUCGUAACACAACCACACAGCGGUGGUGCUGCUGGGGUCGUUUAUGACUGCCGACUCGCUUCAGAGGUUUGGUUAUUUAGACACAUCGAAGAAAAUAUUUGUUUUACCGGAUGGUGCCGAAUUGUAAUCGUCGUUUUGGUAGGGGACAUAAUUAGCAUCGUGUGACACGCUGAGGCACGCGGCUAACUUUUAAGUGUUUAAGGCGUAGAGGAUAGAGGGAAUUUGAACUUCAUCGACCGCGAGUGAAAAUACUCCGCCUGCAACCAGCAUGCAAAAGCGGCCUGUGUACACGGAUUUUUCUUAAAUAUAUAAAUUUUGAUUGAUUUACUUCCUUAUAAAAAGGGCAUCACAGCUUUAUACGGCGCUACUACCCUUUUCGCCUCUGAUCGCGAUGGUGGAACAAUCCUUCAGUAUCUGUCUAAAGUCAGCUAUGCUAGAAAGCUAGUCGUGCUAGGUAGGUGUUAGCUACCAGCGCACAGUACAGUACUGUGGUUAGCCAGCUGCGUACAUUCACACAUCGACAACUUCAUCGCGGUAUCGCAAUUAGAUUUGCGAGAUACACGUCUAUAUUUUAUAAACAUUUAAGCAAAACAGUGUUGAAGUAACUCCUCGGCUGUUUUUUCUUCGUACAGGCGAGUGACUUGUUUGUUCCCAGAGGCUAUGUCGAGUUGUACUUUGGCUAUUUUGCUUUGCUUGUUGAAGAUCGUCCCCAUAAAACAGCAAGGCAUAGAUAAGAUGCAGCCUCCUCCGACAUGCAAUGUCGGAUCACGCUGAGUAACGUCGCAGGUUUUUGGCAGGUGGCGAGCGUCAAGUUGUGCAGGUUGCUCCCCAUUUAUUUGCGGAUGUGAACGCUCCAGGGGCGGAAACACAGUGAGGAGAAAACCUUGUUUUUGCAAAUCUGACGAGGAGCGCCACGGCGGAUCGUCCCCGGGCUGCGCAUCAAAAUGUCGGCCAUCUCUGCAGCCGAGAAAGUGGACGGAUUUA